CAUGGGCAUUUAAACAGUGCAGUCACAUGGCCAGAGUUGCUCAUUAUCAAAUUAAGGACACCGCCUGUGAGAAAUAACUUUGGCAGCACAAUUUUCUGUCCUAGUGCAUGGAGGAUGUUGGCUCUACUAUAAGGAACAAUAAUAAUAACUAUGAGGAUGAUGUACUGAAUUUUAGCUCAUUUUAAGGGAAAAUCUCCAUUUUGCUCUAAAUGGGCGCCUUUUAUUCUGGCUGCUGUCCUAUUCAUGAAACUACUGAGGAGAAAGAUUGUAUAUUAAGGUCCAGUAUGUCCAGUGGCAGUGAGACAGCCGUGGCUCAUGAGCUGCAGGACAGCAGAUCUGGACCUGAGAAGGAGGUGAGGACCUGGAGCAGUGCUCAAACCUCCAUCUCCACUACUGAGGGGGAAUCAGAUGCUCAAUUACAUGCAUUCAUCAAGAUGAGGAACAAAGUGGACAAAGAUACUGAGGAAUGGGAGAAACUGAACUAUGAUAUUCACACUCUAAGGUGUGCUCGUAAAGAAGUUUGUAUACGUUGGAAGAAGAUCUUGCUUCAGCUGGGUUAUCAGAAGGAGGCAGACUCCUUACUGACAGUGAACAGACAGACGGUUCUGAGUGACUGGGAGAAUGUGGAGAAAGCCAGAGAACUUCUGCGAAUAGUGUCAGAGGAAACAGGCCUCUUCCCCCGUGGACUCAGCAACAGUGGAAGAUACAUCUUUGUCAUGGAUCGACUGGUGUCUCUGGACAGUGCUGAAGACUUUGUGCAGCUGGCCAAAGAGAAAUAUCCAAGAAUUGAGUCUUGAGAUGUAAAGGAACUUUUAAGUUUGGACUCGUUUGCUCUCUUUAAUGCUUCGUUGUUGUUUUGUCCUGAGGAAUAGAGACUAAAUGACAUUAUAUUCGGAAAUUCAGAAAGAUAUCAGCAAAUUACAGUAUACUGUAGUGUCAAAGGGCCCGACGCGGGAGUGGAGCCUCGGAACACGAUUACUACCGAGGGGGACCCAAUGCGCCAUUUCUGCCAAGGGUGGGCCCCGAGUCAACAUGCUGUUCAGGGGGUCCAGUAACUGUAGUGGCGCUCCUGGGUAAGGGCAUUAAUUGUGGUGUAGACACUCUCUAAAACUCACUUGUAUCACUGUUAUUUACAUAAA
Onychostoma macrolepis is the source of this 1139-nucleotide RNA transcript. It is a transcript of the gene named melanoregulin-like, with no coding region annotated. Lineage: Eukaryota; Metazoa; Chordata; Actinopteri; Cypriniformes; Cyprinidae. The record is from RefSeq and is a predicted model, not a curated record. The transcript has 6 exons.